UACAUGGGAAAGGUCUGCUGCAUUGUGGAA
RNAcentral lists this non-coding RNA (30 nucleotides) under Rattus norvegicus (Norway rat). Lineage: Eukaryota; Metazoa; Chordata; Mammalia; Rodentia; Muridae. The record is from RNAcentral.